RNAcentral lists this ribosomal RNA (1417 nucleotides) under metagenome. RNAcentral's name for it is "bacterial LSU rRNA". It matches the Rfam family "Bacterial large subunit ribosomal RNA", at positions 1476 to 2925 of the family's 2925-position model. The record is from RNAcentral.
AGAAGGAGAGCACUACCUGGAAUGGAAUCCAGGGGCAAGCACAGGAGGGGUACGGCUGGAAAAACCGCCGUGCAACCCAAAGGUGUAACGCAUACCGAACUAAAGUAGGGAAAUGUGUGAGCCGGCUGCCGAGAAAAGCCGCUAUUGUUUGUACUGUACCCGUACCGUAAACCGACACAGGUGGAUGAGGAGAGAAUCCUAAGGCCGACGGAAGAAGCAUUGCUAAGGAACUCGGCAAAAUGACCCUGUGACUUCGGGAGAAAGGGUGCCUCGAAAGAGGCCGCAGAGAAUAGGCCCAAGCAACUGUUUAGCAAAAACACAGGUCUAUGCAAAACCGCAAGGUGAAGUAUAUGGGCUGACGCCUGCCCGGUGCUGGAAGGUUAAGGGGAGAUGUCAGGAGACGAAGCAUCGAACUUAAGCCCCAGUAAACGGCGGCCGUAACUAUAACGGUCCUAAGGUAGCGAAAUUCCUUGUCGGGUAAGUUCCGACCCGCACGAAAGGCGUAAUGAUUUGGGCGCUGUCUCGGCAAUGCAUCCGGUGAAAUUGAAGUGCCAGUGAAGAUGCUGGCUACCCGCGCCAGGACGGAAAGACCCCAUGGAGCUUUACUCCAGCUUGAUACUGGGAUUCGGUAUUGUAUGUACAGGAUAGGUGGGAGGCUGAGAAAUGGUGACGCCAGUCGCCAUGGAGCCGCUGUUGGGAUACCACCCUUGCAGUACUGGAUUUCUAACCAGCAGCCGUGAUCCGGCUGGGGGACAAUGUCAGGUGGGGAGUUUGACUGGGGCGGUCGCCUCCGAGAGGGUAUCGGAGGCGCUCAAAGGUUCCCUCAGAAUGGUCGGAAACCAUUCGAAGAGUGCAAAGGCAGAAGGGAGCUUGACUGCGACACCGACGGGUGGGGCAGGUACGAAAGUAGGACUUAGUGAUCCGGUGGUAUUAAGUGGGAAUGCCAUCGCUCAACGGAUAAAGCUACCCUGGGAUAACAUGCUUAUCACUCCCAAGAUUUCACAUCGACGGAGUGGUUUGGCACCUCGAUGUCGGCUCAUCGCAUCCUGGGGCUGUAGUAGGUCCCAAGGGUUGGGCUGUUCGCCCAUUAAAGCGGUACGCGAGCUGGGUUCAGAACGUCGUGAGACAGUUCGGUCCCUAUCCGGCGUGGGCGUAGGAUAUUUGAGAGGAGCUGACCUUAGUACGAGAGGACCGGGUUGGACUGACCUCUGGUGCACCGGUUGUCAUGCCAAUGGCACAGCCGGGUAGCCAAGUCGGGAAGGGAUAAACGCUGAAGGCAUCUAAGCGUGAAGCCCCCCUCAAGAUGAGAUAUCCCCCGCAUAAGCGGUAAGACCCCUUGAAGACGACGAGGUAGAUAGGGCAGAGGUGGAAGUGCAGUAAUGUAUGGAGCUGACUGCUACUAAUAGGUCGAAGGCGU